UACAGAGGUCUCAACCGUUGUUCGGAUUCAUUGGGCGUAAAGGGUGCGUAGGCGGUCGUGCAAGUCGGAUGUGAAAUCUCAGGGCUCAACCCUGAAACUGCAUUCGAUACUGCGCGGCUAGAGUGCUGGAGGGGAGACUGGAAUUUACGGUGUAGCAGUGAAAUGCGUAGAUAUCGUAAGGAAGACCAGUGGCGAAGGCGAGUCUCUGGGACGGUACUGACGCUGAGACGCGAAAGCGUGGGGAGCGAACAGG
Molecule: ribosomal RNA, 253 nt
Filed under: uncultured bacterium
Lineage: Bacteria
Description: partial 16S ribosomal RNA
Rfam family: Bacterial small subunit ribosomal RNA
Source: RNAcentral